GACGAACGCUGGCGGCGUGCUUAACACAUGCAAGUCGAACGGAGUGGCGAACGGGUGAGUAACACGUGGGUGAUCUGCCUUGCACUUCGGGAUAAGCUUGGGAAACUGGGUCUAAUACCGGAUAGUGCUAGAUGAGCUCGCGGCCUAUCAGCUUGUUGGUGGGGUAAUGGCCUACCAAGGCGUCGAGGGGUAGCCGGCCUGAGAGGGUGUACGGCCACAUUGGGACUGAGAUACGGCCCAGACUCCUACGGGAGGCAGCGGUGGAGAGUAUAGCACAAUAGGAGGAAGCCUGAUGCAGCGACGCCGCGUGGGGGAUGAAGGCCUUCGGGUUGUAAACUCCUUUCGACAGGGACGCGGUACCUGUAUAAGAAGCACCGGCUAACUACGUGCCAGCCGCCGCGGUAAUAC
Molecule: ribosomal RNA, 408 nt
Filed under: uncultured bacterium
Lineage: Bacteria
Description: partial 16S ribosomal RNA
Rfam family: Bacterial small subunit ribosomal RNA
Source: RNAcentral